CAAGGACACACAACUAGAGAGUGAGGGUGCCAGUACCAAACCCAGAAGGAAGCUCUGCAAUGACGUGCGAGGAAGGCAGAAGAGGGGGCAGUUAAUUCUGACUCGGAAUUAAGGAACGGUGUUCUGAAUAAUGUUUAUUAAACAGUUCUUGGUGACCCAUAAAAGAUGACCACGGGUAUUCAGGCGAGAGACACAUCACCGUCCUGGAGAAAGGAUGUUUUGAGAAGCAGGAACCAAACUUCUUCACCGUGGUUUCACCCUCUUAUUUAAAAACAAUAAAC
Zalophus californianus (California sea lion) is the source of this 281-nucleotide long non-coding RNA. RefSeq lists it as uncharacterized. The record is from RefSeq and is a predicted model, not a curated record. NCBI's taxonomy places the organism in Eukaryota, Metazoa, Chordata, Mammalia, Carnivora, Otariidae. The transcript has 3 exons.